This 797-nucleotide ribosomal RNA is filed under the name Alteromonas sp. MH143. RNAcentral describes it as "bacterial SSU rRNA". It matches the Rfam family "Bacterial small subunit ribosomal RNA", at positions 46 to 839 of the family's 1533-position model. The record is from RNAcentral. Lineage: Bacteria; Pseudomonadati; Pseudomonadota; Gammaproteobacteria; Alteromonadales; Alteromonadaceae.
GCCUAACACAUGCAAGUCGAACGGAAACAUGUCUAGCUUGCUAGAUGAUGUCGAGUGGCGGACGGGUGAGUAAUGCUUGGGAACUUGCCUUUGCGAGGGGGAUAACAGUUGGAAACGACUGCUAAUACCGCAUAAUGUCUACGGACCAAACAGGGCUUUUAGCUCUGGCGCAAAGAGAGGCCCAAGUGAGAUUAGCUAGUUGGUGAGGUAAAGGCUCACCAAGGCAACGAUCUCUAGCUGUUCUGAGAGGAAGAUCAGCCACACUGGGACUGAGACACGGCCCAGACUCCUACGGGAGGCAGCAGUGGGGAAUAUUGCACAAUGGGGGAAACCCUGAUGCAGCCAUGCCGCGUGUGUGAAGAAGGCCUUCGGGUUGUAAAGCACUUUCAGUUGUGAGGAAAAGUUAGUAGUUAAUACCUGCUAGCCGUGACGUUAACAACAGAAGAAGCACCGGCUAACUCCGUGCCAGCAGCCGCGGUAAUACGGAGGGUGCGAGCGUUAAUCGGAAUUACUGGGCGUAAAGCGCACGCAGGCGGUUUGUUAAGCUAGAUGUGAAAGCCCCGGGCUCAACCUGGGACGGUCAUUUAGAACUGGCAGACUAGAGUCUUGGAGAGGGGAGUGGAAUUCCAGGUGUAGCGGUGAAAUGCGUAGAUAUCUGGAGGAACAUCAGUGGCGAAGGCGACUCCCUGGCCAAAGACUGACGCUCAUGUGCGAAAGUGUGGGUAGCGAACAGGAUUAGAUACCCUGGUAGUCCACACCGUAAACGCUGUCUACUAGCUGUUUGUGGCUUUAAGCCG